Molecule: ribosomal RNA, 106 nt
Filed under: Acanthosepion pharaonis
Lineage: Eukaryota; Metazoa; Mollusca; Cephalopoda; Sepiida; Sepiidae
Source: RNAcentral
AAAUCACGCUGAAACACCGGUUCUCGUUCGAUCACCGAAGUUAAGCAUCGUAGAGCCAGGUCAGUACUUAGAUGAGAGACCGCUUGGGAACACCUGGUACUGUAAG